Molecule: ribosomal RNA, 756 nt
Filed under: uncultured bacterium
Lineage: Bacteria
Description: bacterial SSU rRNA
Rfam family: Bacterial small subunit ribosomal RNA
Source: RNAcentral
AGAGUUUGAUCAUGGCUCAGAAUCAACGCUGGCGGCGUGCCUAACACAUGCAAGUCGCACGAGAAAGGGGAGCAAUCCCUGAGUAAAGUGGCGCACGGGUGAGUAACACGUGAAUUAUCUACCUCCGAGUGGGGAAUAACUGAGAGAAAUCUUAGCUAAUACCGCAUAACACUUACGAGUCAAAGCAGCAAUGCGCUUGGAGAGGAGUUCGCGGCCGAUUAGUUAGUUGGCGGGGUAAUGGCCCACCAAGACGAUGAUCGGUAUCCGGCCUGAGAGGGCGCACGGACACACUGGAACUGAAACACGGUCCAGACUCCUACGGGAGGCAGCAGUGGGGAAUUUUGCGCAAUGGGGGAAACCCUGACGCAGCAACGCCGCGUGGAGGAUGAAAUAUCUUGGUAUGUAAACUCCUUUCGAUGGGGAAGAUUAUGACGGUACCCAUAGAAGAAGCCCCGGCUAACUUCGUGCCAGCAGCCGCGGUAAUACGAGGGGGGCAAGCGUUGUUCGGAUUUAUUGGGCGUAAAGGGUGCGUAGGCGGUUUGGCAAGUCUGAUGUGAAAUCUAUGGGCUCAACCCAUAGUCUGCAUUAGAAACUGCCGGGCUUGAGUAUGGGAGAGGUGAGUGGAAUUUCCGGUGUAGCGGUGAAAUGCGUAGAUAUCGGAAGGAACACCUGUGGCGAAAGCGGCUCACUGGACCAUAACUGACGCUGAUGUACGAAAGCUAGGGGAGCAAACAGGAUUAGAUACCCUAGUAGUCC